Molecule: non-coding RNA, 423 nt
Organism: Drosophila melanogaster (fruit fly)
Lineage: Eukaryota; Metazoa; Arthropoda; Insecta; Diptera; Drosophilidae
Source: Ensembl
CAUUAUAAUAAAUCAACCCAUAUUCUACCCUUACUCCAAAUAUUUAAAUUAACUCAAUUUGUCAGAUCGUGCGCUCCAAAUUGACCUUGACCAUUAAGUAGCAAGAGCACUACUGAAACAAAAACUGACUCAUCGAAAUGCAGAUGCCGAUGUCGAUGCCUUUGACACCUACAACGCCCCUCGGUUCCCCAUUUUCCAAGAUGAUAUUCAAAAAACACGUUUUGCGUUUAUUGAACGCCCUUGAAGAUGCGACUGCUUCUGUGGCGUUUUCUGCUUCGAUUCAGCUGCGUAUCCAAUGCUCAUUCACAAGAUGCACAACAAGUUUACGUGUUUCACUGAAUUUUUCUGAUUUUGAUUAUGCAUAUGCCGAUUUAAUUGGAUGGUCGAAGUACCGGGGGCAACCUUUGCUGGCCUGUAAUUUGU